RNAcentral lists this ribosomal RNA (968 nucleotides) under Klebsiella pneumoniae. RNAcentral describes it as "partial 23S ribosomal RNA". It matches the Rfam family "Bacterial large subunit ribosomal RNA", at positions 554 to 1529 of the family's 2925-position model. The record is from RNAcentral. Lineage: Bacteria; Pseudomonadati; Pseudomonadota; Gammaproteobacteria; Enterobacterales; Enterobacteriaceae.
AACCGUGUACGUACAAGCAGUGGGAGCACCUUCGGGUGUGACUGCGUACCUUUUGUAUAAUGGGUCAGCGACUUAUAUUCUGUAGCAAGGUUAACCGUAUAGGGGAGCCUCAGGGAAACCGAGUCUUAACUGGGCGUUAAGUUGCAGGGUAUAGACCCGAAACCCGGUGAUCUAGCCAUGGGCAGGUUGAAGGUUGGGUAACACUAACUGGAGGACCGAACCGACUAAUGUUGAAAAAUUAGCGGAUGACUUGUGGCUGGGGGUGAAAGGCCAAUCAAACCGGGAGAUAGCUGGUUCUCCCCGAAAGCUAUUUAGGUAGCGCCUCGUGAACUCAUCUUCGGGGGUAGAGCACUGUUUCGGCUAGGGGGUCAUCCCGACUUACCAACCCGAUGCAAACUACGAAUACCGAAGAAUGUUAUCACGGGAGACACACGGCGGGUGCUAACGUCCGUCGUGAAGAGGGAAACAACCCAGACCGCCAGCUAAGGUCCCAAAGUCAUGGUUAAGUGGGAAACGAUGUGGGAAGGCACAGACAGCCAGGAUGUUGGCUUAGAAGCAGCCAUCAUUUAAAGAAAGCGUAAUAGCUCACUGGUCGAGUCGGCCUGCGCGGAAGAUGUAACGGGGCUAAACCAUGCACCGAAGCUGCGGCAGCGACACUAUGUGUUGUUGGGUAGGGGAGCGUUCUGUAAGCCUGCGAAGGUGUGCUGUGAGGCAUGCUGGAGGUAUCAGAAGUGCGAAUGCUGACAUAAGUAACGAUAAAGCGGGUGAAAAGCCCGCUCGCCGGAAGACCAAGGGUUCCUGUCCAACGUUAAUCGGGGCAGGGUGAGUCGACCCCUAAGGCGAGGCCGAAAGGCGUAGUCGAUGGGAAACAGGUUAAUAUUCCUGUACUUGGUGUUACUGCGAAGGGGGGACGGAGAAGGCUAUGUUAGCCGGGCGACGGUUGUCCCGGUUUAAGCAUGUAGGCUGGU